Molecule: ribosomal RNA, 460 nt
Filed under: uncultured bacterium
Lineage: Bacteria
Description: partial 16S ribosomal RNA
Rfam family: Bacterial small subunit ribosomal RNA
Source: RNAcentral
CCUACGGGAGGCAGCAGUGAGGAAUAUUGGUCAAUGGGCGUAAGCCUGAACCAGCCAAGUCGCGUGAGGGAUGAAGGUUCUAUGGAUCGUAAACCUCUUUUAUAAGGGAAUAAAGUGUGGGACGUGUCCUGUUUUGUAUGUACCUUAUGAAUAAGGAUCGGCUACCUCCGUGCCAGCAGCCGCGGUAAUACGGAGGAUCCGAGCGUUAUCCGGAUUUAUUGGGUUUAAAGGGUGCGUAAGCGGCCUUUUAAGUCAGCGGUGAAAGUCUGUGGCUCAACCAUAGAAUUGCCGUUGAAACUGGGAGGCUUGAGUAUGUUUGAGGCAGGCGGAAUGCGUGGUGUAGCGGUGAAAUGCUUAGAUAUCACGCAGAACCCCGAUUGCGAAGGCAGCCUGCCAAGCCAUGACUGACGCUGAUGCACGAAAGCGUGGGGAUCAAACAGGAUUAGAUACCCGGGUAGUC